UGGAGUAUAUGCCACUGCAGACCGAAUUUUGAAUACGGUUAGCAACCCCAGCAGACAAGAUGCUUAUCAGCUGGUCAGUGGGGAAUUUCCGAUAAUUGAUAUAGUCAUCCCAGAAAAUUAAUUAACUCUUCACUAUUAGAUUUUGAAUAUUAAUGAAAUUAUAUAGACGUUAAUAAGCAUUAAAUUUGCUUUCCAAUGAAUACAGUUUCAAUUAAGUAUCCAUUGAUGAUGCCUUGCAUAAACAGAAGUUAAGUCAGAUUAUCUUUUUCAUCUUGGCAGUGGCUAGUCGUACGGGGCCGUACGUAUAGCAUUUCCUAUAGGCACUGUCUAGCCGUACGACUGUUAUAACAAAUAAAUAUAUUGAUUAUUAAUUGGUCUACGUUCAGAUUUCUUUUCCAUGCGUCAUGAGGAAACGUGCUAAUACAUGUGCUUAAAAUUGUGUGCUACCACGCAGGCAUUUUAGAUGAUUAUUGUUUUUCGCUACAUGAACGUCCCGCAAGAUAAUCAGUGCAUUUGUUUUAGCUACUUAGAUAGUGAAAUUGCAAAAUUUCUACCCUUUAGACUAGCUCGUGCAGUCGUUGUCAUGGAAUUUGCAGUCUGGUUUAUGUUUCGUCGUGAUUGAAAAUCCGUUUCGUACAUAGUAUAUAAUGAGGUGUAAAAAGGGAGAUAUGAAAAUGUAAAUUUAGUUCGCAUAACACAAUUUCGGCAAUCAAAAUAAAUCACAGUAACUGUUAUGGAGUAUAUAAAUACGCAUUGUACAUGCGAAUAUCAAAUGUAUACAUUAAAUAUAUAGUAAAUAAUUUUAACUAAGUCAAUGAAAAUUGCGACAUCACAAUGAGAAAAGUUUAUAACAAAACAAGUAAAAGGGAACUUAACGUGAAAAGGAUAAAACGAUAAAAGAGACCUCCUCUUUUGUUAUUAGUUUUUUUCUUAAAAAGUGACUUAAAUAUUUUUUUAAAGCAUUUUUUCUAAGUUUUACAGUUGUUACAGCUACGGUAUAAUAUUUUCCAAGAAAGUAAAUGACUAUUUGCAUUAAAAAGAUGUUUUUACAAAGAAAAUAAGAGUUUGCGAAAUGAAGUAGAUUAAAUGGGAAGUCUACGACUGUAGGUGGAUGGUCCACGGCCGUCCACAAGCUCAAAUGACCAUAUAUGGAGAAAAAGGCGGGACCAAACCAAAUAGGCUUGCAAUGCGCAUGCCCAAGCAAAACCGAUUUAACACCUGGCGCCGUGACCUGGAUGCAGAUUCUAAGCAGAUGGGCCAAAAUGGGGGCAGCUGGAGAGACUUGCCCGGAACUGACAAGCCUGGAGGAAGCUGGUUGACUGUUGGCGAGAUGGGACAACAGACGAAGAAUAAACGAACCUACUUGAUUUGAUAAACAUUUUUAUGUUUUUCAGUUUCGUCGGAAGACGUUUCCCAACAACCAUCCUGUCUUGAAAGAAAUAACUUUUGAACUUGAUUUUCUGAUAUUUUCCAGUUUCCCCUCACAACAAUAUGCAUCAAACCUCUUGUCUGCUCCUCAGCUGAAAUCAUCAUCUAGCAGUCACAAUAGUUGAGCGGUUGGAGAGGCAUGCAUUGCGUCCUACUACCUGCUCUGACUAUAUCAUGUUUGGCAGACAAAACAUGCUGAUCAAAAAGAAUUUGUACCACAGGGGCCAGUUUUUCCAUUUGAGAGAUUGACAAGAAGAAGAGAUGAGAAAUGUUAUCAUCAUAUUUUAGUCUCUACAUUUAUAGUGUACAGCUCAAUGUAUUGAACUGGUGUUGUAGAAUAUAAUUGGAGAUACAUGCGAACAUUAUACCAUUAUAUAUAAGAUGAUAUUUCAAAAGCAAUAAGAAAUAAAGAGUAUAAAAAGGUCAAAACAGUAGACCUUGUGUUUACAGUGGACAGGUUUAAAGUGGAAGUCACUAGUUAACUGUUGAUCAUAAGCUGCACUGAUGGAAAAAAUAGUGGGAAAUUACUAUCUAGAAAACUGUUUAACGUACGACAACAGUUGUGGAACUUCAUAAAUGACCGUAUGUAACAGGGCUGGGCAGUUUUCCUUAUAUAGCUAUAGUGAAACCUUUUGAACACAAGUGAAGUCACUGUUUUUUUCCAAUCUUCAUGCAUUUUGGUCGAAUAUUUGUUCA
This is a long non-coding RNA of Dreissena polymorpha, 2124 nucleotides long. RefSeq lists it as uncharacterized. The transcript is spliced from 6 exons. NCBI's taxonomy places the organism in Eukaryota, Metazoa, Mollusca, Bivalvia, Myida, Dreissenidae. The record is from RefSeq and is a predicted model, not a curated record.